AGGGGAAAAGUGUUACGGUAGCACGGCUGGCUCCAAACCAGUAGGAUGAGGUUCAAUUCCUUGUUCCCCUGCCA
Molecule: transfer RNA, 74 nt
Filed under: Alteromonas sp.
Lineage: Bacteria; Pseudomonadati; Pseudomonadota; Gammaproteobacteria; Alteromonadales; Alteromonadaceae
Description: tRNA-Trp
Rfam family: tRNA
About the family: Transfer RNA (tRNA) molecules are approximately 80 nucleotides in length.
Source: RNAcentral